This 426-nucleotide ribosomal RNA is filed under the name Calcinus dapsiles. Its description in RNAcentral is "partial 16S ribosomal RNA". It matches the Rfam family "Bacterial large subunit ribosomal RNA", at positions 1914 to 2547 of the family's 2925-position model. Lineage: Eukaryota; Metazoa; Arthropoda; Malacostraca; Decapoda; Diogenidae. The record is from RNAcentral.
UGAGUUUUAAAGGGCCGCGGUAUUUCUGACCGUGCGAAGGUAGCAUAAUCAUUAGUCUUUUAAUUUGAGGCUCGUAUGAAUGGUCGGACGAGGGAUAAACUGUUUUCAAAUAAAAAAAUCGAAUUUAACCUUUAAGUGAAAAGGCUUAAAUACCUCAAAAAGACGAUAAGACCCUAUAAAUCUUAACAUUAAACCCUGUGUUAUUCUAGCUCAUUAGUGUAAAGAAACYCACCGAGAAAAUGUUGUGUUGGGGCAACAAAGAUAUAUCAAUYAACUGUCUUAUUAUUCAAACAAAAAUCAUUGAAUCURUAUAGAUCCUUAUUAAAGAUUUAAAGAUCAAGUUACUUUAGGGAUAACAGCGUCAUUCUUUUUAAGAGUCCCCAUCGAAAAAAGAGUUUGCGACCUCGAUGUUGAAUUAGAAGAUCU